This is a non-coding RNA of Styela clava, 338 nucleotides long. The record is from RefSeq and is a predicted model, not a curated record. NCBI's taxonomy places the organism in Eukaryota, Metazoa, Chordata, Ascidiacea, Stolidobranchia, Styelidae.
AACGGUAUCAUCCGGACUUAAUUAGGUUUUGUUUGAAUUUGGCGUUAAAAAGUUCUAGCACUUACGAUGAACUGCGGAAUUCAAGUCUACUUGUUCUCCCCAGUAGGCGAACGCUCAUUGAUUACAGUUAAAGAAAAUAUUGUCUACAAUCCAAAAAAGGAUAUGAUGGUUGGCUUUGUUGACUUGGGAGAGUCGAGAAAAACAGAGGAAAAAGUUCCUGCACACAAUGCACUGCAAGUUUAUGCACGUAGUUUGAUUGGAAAGUUUUCAAAGCCCUUGACGUUCUAUGCAACAAAUUCCAUCCGCUCAGACCAUCUCACCAGCAUUUUCUGGGAAAG